This 684-nucleotide unclassified non-coding RNA is filed under the name Hevea brasiliensis (rubber tree). Lineage: Eukaryota; Viridiplantae; Streptophyta; Magnoliopsida; Malpighiales; Euphorbiaceae. The record is from RNAcentral.
GUCUUCUUUCGCUGGAGAUGUCUUUCUUAAAUGGUCAAUGACGCUCUUCCCGGUUAAAUUAGGUGAAUUGAUUUGAUCAAAUCAGAGAUACAGCACUGCAAUAACUUGGUUGAAACAAACAUGUUUUCCAUUUUGAUAAUCAAUCUGGUUAAAUUAGGAUCAGCUUAGGUGAAUUGAAUUGAUCAAAAGCAAGGACUUAAAACAAUAUUAUUUGUUAUGAACUUCAGCUGCUAACCCAAAGUCUUCGUGUUUAGCUUAACUACUCUUAAGAGCACCAAUCAAUAUCAUAAUGAGACCUGGCAUAGAAUGAUUCCCACUCUCAAAAGUCAAAACAACCCUAUUCUAUUAUCAUUAUUAUUAUUAAUCUUUGUGGGGGUCCAUUAUUUGAUAGCUUAAAGGCCCUGGUCCAAGGGAUCCAAGGCAACCUUGCAGUGCUUGUUUAUGAAGAGACCAUAAUAAGACUACUACUAUGCUAGAUUUCAACCAAAUACGAGUUAAAAAGCGAAAGGCUUUGCUUUGAAAGGGGAGGGCUCCGAAAGCGGCUGCUAGCAACUAUUCUGGUAUUAAUAAUCAUUACGCCAUUGCCAUCCAAGCUCUAGCUUAAGGCCCUCUAAACGUGAAUUGGGCUCCAACAAGUCCAGUUCUAUGUAUGCAGGCCAUUUUAUUGUGAGAAGAAGCGGAUUU